UGGAUAUAUAUUUUAAACAUUGGGUUUUCUAAAACCUAAUAAUAAUAACAAUAAUUAUAAUUAUAAAAAUACAUCAUCAUAUAUAUUCAGAGGUAAGCCCUCUAUACAAUAAUAUUCUGCUUUCUGCUUUUUCUCCAGUUUCAAGACUACACCUUAUUUUCUCUAAAGUAGUGCUUGCCCAUUAACUUGUACAUAGAUUUUAUAGUUCCUUAUUCUGAGGCAGCUCUUAACAUGAUGAACCUCUAUUUAAAAUCUGAAUGUCACACACAAUAUAGUAUCAAUGCUGUCUUCUAAUUCAUUUUCACUGGCUGAGUUGUGAGACCAGAUCCGAAGGGAAAGNNNNN
Molecule: long non-coding RNA, 344 nt
Filed under: Capsicum annuum
Lineage: Eukaryota; Viridiplantae; Streptophyta; Magnoliopsida; Solanales; Solanaceae
Description: long non-coding RNA (CANN_LNC009229)
Source: RNAcentral